Molecule: non-coding RNA, 74 nt
Organism: Callorhinchus milii (elephant shark)
Lineage: Eukaryota; Metazoa; Chordata; Chondrichthyes; Chimaeriformes; Callorhinchidae
Source: the annotation of a RefSeq genome assembly
GCCCUGUGGCUCAGUGGUGUUAGAGCACUCGCUUCGUAAGUGAGAGGACCCGGGUUCGAUUCCUGGGUGGGGCA